GUAAGAGAUGCUAAAAACCUUGUACCUAUGGACCCCAAUGGCCUGUCAGAUCCCUACGUAAAACUGAAACUGAUUCCCGAUCCCAAAAGUGAGAGCAAACAGAAGACCAAAACCAUCAAAUGCUCCCUCAACCCCGAGUGGAACGAGACAUUUAGAUUUCAGCUGAAAGAAUCGGACAAAGACAGAAGACUGUCAGUAGAGAUCUGGGAUUGGGAUUUGACCAGCAGGAAUGACUUCAUGGGAUCUUUGUCCUUUGGGAUUUCUGAACUGCAAAAAGCCAGUGUUGAUGGCUGGAAUCCCUGGAAGUCCCUGCUGUGUGGAUAGCACCCUUCUCGAUUUCCAGCAAAGAUACAGAUGCUCUCUUGUUUUUGUAUUUCUUUUGGUAAUUUCUGUGGAAUUUUGGAAGAAAAUUUGGAAUAUUAAAUGUGGAGGCGUAGAGGCUUAAAUUGUCUUCUCUGCUUUGAAUCACCUAGCCCAUUUUUGGAAGCUGUGUAAGAAGAUUCGUGAAUGGAGAGAAAACAUUGUGAUGAAAAUUUUAAAC
RNAcentral lists this small RNA (541 nucleotides) under Pongo abelii (Sumatran orangutan). RNAcentral describes it as "processed transcript". Lineage: Eukaryota; Metazoa; Chordata; Mammalia; Primates; Hominidae. The record is from RNAcentral.